GAUCCGUAAACCCCUGUCAUUUGUGAACAAUGGUUACUUAUGAAUAAUAGGUGACUUGAUAGUAAUGAAAGAGGAAGGGACGGCUAACUCUGUGCCAGCAGCCGCGGUAAUACAGAGGUCCCGAGCGUUGUUCGGAUUCACUGGGCGUAAAGGGUGCGUAGGUGGCUUGGUAAGUUUGAUGUGAAAGCUCAGGGCUCAACCCUGAAAUGGCAUUGAAUACUACUGAGCUGGAGGUUUGGAGGGGGGACUGGAAUUCUCGGUGUAGCAGUGAAAUGCGUAGAUAUCGAGAGGAACACCAGUGGCGAAGGCGAGUCCCUGGACAACACCUGACACUGAGGCACGAAAGCUAGGGGAGCAAACAGGAUUAGAUACCCUGGUAGUCCUAGCCCUAAACGGUGCGCAUUUGCUGUAAGAGGAAUCGACCCCUUUUGUGGCGAAGCUAACGCGAUAAAUGCGCCGCCUGGGGAGUACGGUCGCAAGAUUAAAACUCAAAGAAAUUGACGGGGGCCUGCACAAGCGGUGGAGUAUGUGGCUUAAUUCGAUGCAACGCGAAGAACCUUACCUGGCCUUGACAUGCAAGUAGUAGAACCAUGAAAGUGGGACGACCCCGCAAGGGGAGCUUGCACAGGUGCUGCAUGGCUGUCGUCAGCUCGUGUCGUGAGAUGUUGGGUUAAGUCCCCGCACGAGCGCAACCCCU
RNAcentral lists this ribosomal RNA (697 nucleotides) under uncultured Neomoorella sp. RNAcentral describes it as "bacterial SSU rRNA". It matches the Rfam family "Bacterial small subunit ribosomal RNA", at positions 420 to 1106 of the family's 1533-position model. Lineage: Bacteria; Bacillati; Bacillota; Clostridia; Neomoorellales; Neomoorellaceae. The record is from RNAcentral.